This 259-nucleotide ribosomal RNA is filed under the name uncultured bacterium. RNAcentral's name for it is "partial 16S ribosomal RNA". It matches the Rfam family "Bacterial small subunit ribosomal RNA", at positions 524 to 776 of the family's 1533-position model. The record is from RNAcentral.
UACGAAGGGUGCAAACGUUGCUCGGAAUUAUUGGGCGUAAAGCGCACGUAGGCGGCAUUGCAAGUCGGAUGUGAAAUCCCUCGGCUUAACCAAGGAAGUGCAUCCGAAACUGCAGUGCUUGAGUACUUAAGAGGAUCGCGGAAUUCCCGGUGUAGAGGUGAAAUUCGUAGAUAUCGGGGAGGAACACCAGUGGCGAAAGGCGGCGAUCUGGGGAAAGAUACUGACGCUGAGGUGCGAAAAGCGUGGGGGAGCAAACAGG